RNAcentral lists this unclassified non-coding RNA (435 nucleotides) under fungal sp. RNAcentral describes it as "partial internal transcribed spacer region". The stretch from base 1 to 46 matches the Rfam family "Eukaryotic small subunit ribosomal RNA", at positions 1786 to 1831 of the family's 1831-position model. The record is from RNAcentral. Lineage: Eukaryota; Fungi.
AAGUCGUAACAAGGUUUCCGUAGGUGAACCUGCGGAAGGAUCAUUAUUAAUCAUUGGUUUACCAAUAAUAUUUGUGCAAAAUGGUAUAACACUGCCUAAGCAUGUGUGAUUUGGUGAAGGUAUUACCCAAUGACCCCAAAUUAUACUUGUGGAAGCGUGCGUGAGGAAGCUGUGAUGCUGGUUUCUUUUUGGGGAGGGGUCAUUCCCACUGAUCCAGAUUGAUCGCCACUGUUAUGGUUUUCGCAUGGGUUUAGGUGGCAUAUGUUGUUGGGGAGGAGUCAUGUCCAUUGAUCCUGCAUUACUUGUCGUCGAUACCUUUACCCUAUUUAACUUUGUUUUUCAGUCUUGAAAUCUGUCAUCAGGAAGUAACCGCAAGGUGCAACCUGCUCUGACCUUAAGGUGUAAAAACUUUUAGCAACGGAUCUCUAGGCUCUC